UUUUAUACAGGGUCACUCUUUAUCAUUACUGCUGUAAAACCUGCUGCAAUUGGAAGAGAAAAUGAUCCUGAGCAUGCUCUUUGAAUCCCUGAAGUUGAUGUCAGAAAAUAACGUGCUCUGAAAGCUUAAUGCAGAUAACUAAAAUUACCGAUAAGUUGCAAGAAUUCACAAAAUGCCUGAUAUAGUUGAAAGAAAAAUAUGGAAACUUCUCAGGACCAGAAGAAAAUAAAGUAGAG
RNAcentral lists this long non-coding RNA (236 nucleotides) under Macaca mulatta (Rhesus monkey). Its description in RNAcentral is "lncRNA (ENSMMUG00000057678.1)". Lineage: Eukaryota; Metazoa; Chordata; Mammalia; Primates; Cercopithecidae. The record is from RNAcentral.